RNAcentral lists this ribosomal RNA (1552 nucleotides) under Enterobacter cloacae. Its description in RNAcentral is "bacterial SSU rRNA". It matches the Rfam family "Bacterial small subunit ribosomal RNA". RNAcentral also lists the same sequence under 4 other names. The record is from RNAcentral. Lineage: Bacteria; Pseudomonadati; Pseudomonadota; Gammaproteobacteria; Enterobacterales; Enterobacteriaceae.
AAAUUGAAGAGUUUGAUCAUGGCUCAGAUUGAACGCUGGCGGCAGGCCUAACACAUGCAAGUCGAACGGUAACAGGAAGCAGCUUGCUGCUUUGCUGACGAGUGGCGGACGGGUGAGUAAUGUCUGGGAAACUGCCUGAUGGAGGGGGAUAACUACUGGAAACGGUAGCUAAUACCGCAUAACGUCGCAAGACCAAAGAGGGGGACCUUCGGGCCUCUUGCCAUCGGAUGUGCCCAGAUGGGAUUAGCUAGUAGGUGGGGUAACGGCUCACCUAGGCGACGAUCCCUAGCUGGUCUGAGAGGAUGACCAGCCACACUGGAACUGAGACACGGUCCAGACUCCUACGGGAGGCAGCAGUGGGGAAUAUUGCACAAUGGGCGCAAGCCUGAUGCAGCCAUGCCGCGUGUAUGAAGAAGGCCUUCGGGUUGUAAAGUACUUUCAGCGGGGAGGAAGGCGAUAAGGUUAAUAACCUUGUCGAUUGACGUUACCCGCAGAAGAAGCACCGGCUAACUCCGUGCCAGCAGCCGCGGUAAUACGGAGGGUGCAAGCGUUAAUCGGAAUUACUGGGCGUAAAGCGCACGCAGGCGGUCUGUCAAGUCGGAUGUGAAAUCCCCGGGCUCAACCUGGGAACUGCAUUCGAAACUGGCAGGCUAGAGUCUUGUAGAGGGGGGUAGAAUUCCAGGUGUAGCGGUGAAAUGCGUAGAGAUCUGGAGGAAUACCGGUGGCGAAGGCGGCCCCCUGGACAAAGACUGACGCUCAGGUGCGAAAGCGUGGGGAGCAAACAGGAUUAGAUACCCUGGUAGUCCACGCCGUAAACGAUGUCGACUUGGAGGUUGUGCCCUUGAGGCGUGGCUUCCGGAGCUAACGCGUUAAGUCGACCGCCUGGGGAGUACGGCCGCAAGGUUAAAACUCAAAUGAAUUGACGGGGGCCCGCACAAGCGGUGGAGCAUGUGGUUUAAUUCGAUGCAACGCGAAGAACCUUACCUACUCUUGACAUCCAGAGAACUUAGCAGAGAUGCUUUGGUGCCUUCGGGAACUCUGAGACAGGUGCUGCAUGGCUGUCGUCAGCUCGUGUUGUGAAAUGUUGGGUUAAGUCCCGCAACGAGCGCAACCCUUAUCCUUUGUUGCCAGCGGUCCGGCCGGGAACUCAAAGGAGACUGCCAGUGAUAAACUGGAGGAAGGUGGGGAUGACGUCAAGUCAUCAUGGCCCUUACGAGUAGGGCUACACACGUGCUACAAUGGCGCAUACAAAGAGAAGCGACCUCGCGAGAGCAAGCGGACCUCAUAAAGUGCGUCGUAGUCCGGAUUGGAGUCUGCAACUCGACUCCAUGAAGUCGGAAUCGCUAGUAAUCGUGGAUCAGAAUGCCACGGUGAAUACGUUCCCGGGCCUUGUACACACCGCCCGUCACACCAUGGGAGUGGGUUGCAAAAGAAGUAGGUAGCUUAACCUUCGGGAGGGCGCUUACCACUUUGUGAUUCAUGACUGGGGUGAAGUCGUAACAAGGUAACCGUAGGGGAACCUGCGGUUGGAUCACCUCCUUACCUUAAAGAA